AGCGAACGCUGGCGGCAGGCCUAACACAUGCAAGUCGAACGAACCCUUCGGUGUUAGUGGCGGACGGGUGAGUAACACGUUGGAACGUGCCUUUUGGUUCGGAAUAACUCAGGGAAACUUGUUCUAAUACCGACUUUGCCCUUCGGGGGAAAGAUUUAUCGCCAUUAGAGCGGCCCGCGGCUGAUUAGCUAGUUGGUGAGGUAACGGCUCACCAAGACGACGAUCAGUAGCUGUUCUGAGAGGAUGAGCAGCAACACUGGGACUGAGACACGGCCCAGACUCCGACGGGAGGCAGCAGGGGGGAAUCUGGCGCAAUGGAAGAAAGCAUGACGCAGCCAUGCCGCGUGAAAGAAGAAGGACGGAGGAUUGUAAAAUUCUUUCACAGGAGAAGAUAAUGACGGUACCCGGAGAAGAAGCCCCGGCUAACUUCGU
This 432-nucleotide ribosomal RNA is filed under the name uncultured bacterium. RNAcentral's name for it is "partial 16S ribosomal RNA". It matches the Rfam family "Bacterial small subunit ribosomal RNA", at positions 29 to 506 of the family's 1533-position model. The record is from RNAcentral.